AAAUUGAAGAGUUUGAUCAUGGCUCAGAUUGAACGCUGGCGGCAGGCCUAACACAUGCAAGUCGAGCGGAAACGAGUUAUCUGAACCUUCGGGGAACGAUAGCGGCGUCGAGCGGCGGACGGGUGAGUAAUGCCUAGGAAAUUGCCCUGAUGUGGGGGAUAACCAUUGGAAACGAUGGCUAAUACCGCAUGAUGCCUACGGGCCAAAGAGGGGGACCUUCGGGCCUCUCGCGUCAGGAUAUGCCUAGGUGGGAUUAGCUAGUUGGUGAGGUAAGGGCUCACCAAGGCGACGAUCCCUAGCUGGUCUGAGAGGAUGAUCAGCCACACUGGAACUGAGACACGGUCCAGACUCCUACGGGAGGCAGCAGUGGGGAAUAUUGCACAAUGGGCGCAAGCCUGAUGCAGCCAUGCCGCGUGUGUGAAGAAGGCCUUCGGGUUGUAAAGCACUUUCAGUCGUGAGGAAGGUAGUGUAGUUAAUAGCUGCAUCGUUUGACGUUAGCGACAGAAGAAGCACCGGCUAACUCCGUGCCAGCAGCCGCGGUAAUACGGAGGGUGCGAGCGUUAAUCGGAAUUACUGGGCGUAAAGCGCAUGCAGGUGGUUUGUUAAGUCAGAUGUGAAAGCCCGGGGCUCAACCUCGGAAUUGCAUUUGAAACUGGCAGACUAGAGUACUGUAGAGGGGGGUAGAAUUUCAGGUGUAGCGGUGAAAUGCGUAGAGAUCUGAAGGAAUACCGGUGGCGAAGGCGGCCCCCUGGACAGAUACUGACACUCAGAUGCGAAAGCGUGGGGAGCAAACAGGAUUAGAUACCCUGGUAGUCCACGCCGUAAACGAUGUCUACUUGGAGGUUGUGGCCUUGAGCCGUGGCUUUCGGAGCUAACGCGUUAAGUAGACCGCCUGGGGAGUACGGUCGCAAGAUUAAAACUCAAAUGAAUUGACGGGGGCCCGCACAAGCGGUGGAGCAUGUGGUUUAAUUCGAUGCAACGCGAAGAACCUUACCUACUCUUGACAUCCAGAGAACUUUCCAGAGAUGGAUUGGUGCCUUCGGGAACUCUGAGACAGGUGCUGCAUGGCUGUCGUCAGCUCGUGUUGUGAAAUGUUGGG
RNAcentral lists this ribosomal RNA (1099 nucleotides) under Vibrio parahaemolyticus. Its description in RNAcentral is "bacterial SSU rRNA". It matches the Rfam family "Bacterial small subunit ribosomal RNA", at positions 1 to 1079 of the family's 1533-position model. Lineage: Bacteria; Pseudomonadati; Pseudomonadota; Gammaproteobacteria; Vibrionales; Vibrionaceae. The record is from RNAcentral.